Molecule: ribosomal RNA, 443 nt
Filed under: uncultured bacterium
Lineage: Bacteria
Description: partial 16S ribosomal RNA
Rfam family: Bacterial small subunit ribosomal RNA
Source: RNAcentral
CCUACGGGUGGCAGCAGUGGGGAAUAUUGCACAAUGGGCGAAAGCCUGAUGCAGCAACGCCGCGUGAAUGAAGAAGGGUUUCGGCUCGUAAACUUCUAUUAACAGGGACGAACGAAAUUACGGUACCUGAAUAAGAAGCCCAGGCUAACUACGUGCCAGCAGCCGCGGUAAUACGUAGGGGGCAAGCGUGAUCCGGAAUUACUGGGUGUAAAGGUUGAGUAUGCUGCAUGGUAAGCCAGAUGUGAAAGUCUUGGGCUUAACCCGAGGAUUGCAUUUGGAACUAUCAAGCUAGAGUGCAGGAGAGGAAAGCGGAAUUCCUGGUGUAGCGGUGAAAUGCGUAGAUAUAAGGAAGAACACCAGUGGCGAAGGCGGCUUUCUGGACUGAAACUGACGCUGAGGCACGAAAGCGUGGGGAGCGAACAGGAUUAGAUACCCGAGUAGUC